Molecule: ribosomal RNA, 484 nt
Filed under: uncultured bacterium
Lineage: Bacteria
Description: partial 16S ribosomal RNA
Rfam family: Bacterial small subunit ribosomal RNA
Source: RNAcentral
AUUGAACGCUGGCGGCAUGCUUUACACAUGCAAGUCGAACGGCAGCGCGGGCUUCGGCCUGGCGGCGAGUGGCGAACGGGUGAGUAAUACAUCGGAACGUGCCCAGUAGUGGGGGAUAGCUCGGCGAAAGCCGGAUUAAUACCGCAUACGACCUGAGGGUGAAAGCGGGGGAUCUUCGGACCUCGCGCUAUUGGAGCGGCCGAUGGCAGAUUAGCUAGUUGGUGGGGUAAAGGCCUACCAAGGCGACGAUCUGUAGCUGGUCUGAGAGGACGACCAGCCACACUGGGACUGAGACACGGCCCAGACUCCUACGGGAGGCAGCAGUGGGGAAUUUUGGACUAUGGGCGAAAGCCUGAUCCAGCAAUGCCGCGUGUGUGAUGAAGGCCUUCGGGUUGUAAAGCACUUUUGGCGGGAACGAAAAGGACUGUGCCGAUACCACGGUUCGAUGACGGUACCCGCAGAAUAAGCACCGGCUAACUACGUG